This 29-nucleotide non-coding RNA is filed under the name Mus musculus (house mouse). Lineage: Eukaryota; Metazoa; Chordata; Mammalia; Rodentia; Muridae. The record is from RNAcentral.
UGCUUUUGACAUAAAUAACUACCCUUCUU